CCUACGGGAUGCAGCAGUGGGGAAUAUUGGGCAAUGGGCGAAAGCCUGACCCAGCAACGCCGCGUGAAGGAAGAAGGCUUUCGGGUUGUAAACUUCUUUUGACAGGGAAGAGCAGAAGACGGUACCUGUCGAAUAAGCCACGGCUAACUACGUGCCAGCAGCCGCGGUAAUAUGUAGGUGGCAAGCGUUGUCCGGAUUUACUGGGUGUAAAGGGCGUGUAGCCGGGCUGACAAGCAAGAUGUGAAAUCCGGGGGCUAAACCCCCGAACUGCAUUUGAAACUGUUGGUCUUGAGUAUCGGAGAGGCAGGCGGAAUUCCUAGUGUAGCGGUGAAAUGCGUAGAUAUUAGAAGGAACACCAAUAGCGUAGGCAGGUUACUGGGACGGUUCUGACACUAAGGCACGAAAGCGUAGGGAGCAAACGGGAUUAGAUACCCUUGUAGUC
RNAcentral lists this ribosomal RNA (442 nucleotides) under uncultured bacterium. RNAcentral describes it as "partial 16S ribosomal RNA". It matches the Rfam family "Bacterial small subunit ribosomal RNA", at positions 338 to 795 of the family's 1533-position model. The record is from RNAcentral.